Molecule: ribosomal RNA, 615 nt
Filed under: uncultured Enterobacter sp.
Lineage: Bacteria; Pseudomonadati; Pseudomonadota; Gammaproteobacteria; Enterobacterales; Enterobacteriaceae
Description: bacterial SSU rRNA
Rfam family: Bacterial small subunit ribosomal RNA
Source: RNAcentral
GCCGCGGUAAUACGGAGGGUGCAAGCGUUAAUCGGAAUUACUGGGCGUAAAGCGCACGCAGGCGGUCUGUCAAGUCGGAUGUGAAAUCCCCGGGCUCAACCUGGGAACUGCAUUCGAAACUGGCAGGCUAGAGUCUUGUAGAGGGGGGUAGAAUUCCAGGUGUAGCGGUGAAAUGCGUAGAGAUCUGGAGGAAUACCGGUGGCGAAGGCGGCCCCCUGGACAAAGACUGACGCUCAGGUGCGAAAGCGUGGGGAGCAAACAGGAUUAGAUACCCUGGUAGUCCACGCCGUAAACGAUGUCGACUUGGAGGUUGUGCCCUUGAGGCGUGGCUUCCGGAGCUAACGCGUUAAGUCGACCGCCUGGGGAGUACGGCCGCAAGGUUAAAACUCAAAUGAAUUGACGGGGGCCCGCACAAGCGGUGGAGCAUGUGGUUUAAUUCGAUGCAACGCGAAGAACCUUACCUACUCUUGACAUCCAGAGAACUUUCCAGAGAUGGAUUGGUGCCUUCGGGAACUCUGAGACAGGUGCUGCAUGGCUGUCGUCAGCUCGUGUUGUGAAAUGUUGGGUUAAGUCCCGCAACGAGCGCAGCCCUUAUCCUUUGUUGCCAGCGGUCCG